Molecule: long non-coding RNA, 147 nt
Organism: Micropterus salmoides (largemouth bass)
Lineage: Eukaryota; Metazoa; Chordata; Actinopteri; Centrarchiformes; Centrarchidae
Exons: 2
Source: RefSeq, a predicted model, not a curated record
UUACUGUGAAGCCCAGAACAGAAGAGGACGUCAUAACUCCACCUUACAUCUGACUGUUGUGGCAGGCUCAAUGAAAUCAGCAGCUGCUGGAUCAAUCACUGCCAUUUUUCUGGCUCUCAUAUUGCUCUGUGUCUUCCUAUUGAUUAG